This 433-nucleotide unclassified non-coding RNA is filed under the name soil metagenome. RNAcentral describes it as "partial contains 5.8S ribosomal RNA, internal transcribed spacer 2, and large subunit ribosomal RNA". The stretch from base 1 to 120 matches the Rfam family "5.8S ribosomal RNA", at positions 35 to 154 of the family's 154-position model. The record is from RNAcentral.
GAUGAAGAACGCAGCGAAAUGCGAUACGUAAUGUGAAUUGCAGAAUUCAGUGAAUCAUCGAAUCUUUGAACGCAUAUUGCGCUCUCUGGUAUUCCGGAGAGCAUGCUUGUUUGAGUAUCAGUAAACACCUCAACUUCCAUAUCUUUUUUGAAAUGGGAGUUGGACUUGAGUGAUCCCAACGCUUUUCCUCACCGAAAAGUGGCGGGUUACUUGAAAUGCAGGUGCAGCUGGACUUUUCUCUGAGCUAUAAGCAUAUCUAUUUAGUCUGCCUAAAAAACAGAUUAUUACCUUUGCUGCAACUAACAUAAAGGAGAUUAGUUCUUGUGCUGACUGAUGCAGGAUUCACAAAGACAGGCUUCGGCCGACUUUGUAAACUCGAUCUCAAAUCAAGUAAGACUACCCGCUGAACUUAAGCAUAUCAAUAAGCGGAGGA